This 625-nucleotide long non-coding RNA is filed under the name Dromaius novaehollandiae (emu). RNAcentral's name for it is "lncRNA (ENSDNVG00000016611.1)". The record is from RNAcentral. Lineage: Eukaryota; Metazoa; Chordata; Aves; Casuariiformes; Dromaiidae.
GGAGCACUUGUCCCUCUCCUGUGAGGAUCCUCUGGUGUCUGAUGGAGGGGCAGCUCACACUGCAAGUACGAUUCAGAUGCUACUUCGUUUCUGGAUGGGGACGUGAGCUGUAUCCUCUCCCUGGAAGGGACGGCGGGCAGCAGCUCCGAACUGAGGCAUGGGUGCUGCAUGAGGGCCCGUCCGCUGAAGGUCAAUCCCCCUCCUCAGUAGGGCUCCUGAUCUAGCGUGGGGCUCCCUGACUCUGCAGAGCCCAUGCUAUCUACGUGUGAGAGGCACCAGCAGGAAGGUACCACAUUCAAUAUAAUAAAUCUUACUACCAGAUUUGCAAUUUCGUGUGCUACUUCUCUCAGUAUUCAGAGCUGGAUUGACAUUGUUGCUUCCUCCCAACUCAAGCACAUUCAGCAUUUGAAUUUUGCUUGGGUAAGUGACUUCUGUGUUUCUCCUUGAGUGCUACUGCAUGUUUUGUGAUCAGCGGUGUACCAAAUGUAGUUAAAAAGAUUGAAUUUUAACUUUAUACUGAUGCAGCUUUUGACUCCUUUCUUGACUAUACAGGAGUGCUGUGGGUUUGGGUAUUUUUGCAAUCAGAUAGCAUCUCAGCAACUUGUCCACUGUCACUAAGCUCGUG